AUGAGCACCCAUACCACCUGACAUUUGGACUAAGUAAUCCAUUUGAAGUGAAGCAGGUUUGGGCCUGGCCAGGAUUUGGAUGGGAGACCAACCAGGAAAACUGUGUUGGUGUGGGCA
RNAcentral lists this ribosomal RNA (117 nucleotides) under Paramormyrops kingsleyae. Lineage: Eukaryota; Metazoa; Chordata; Actinopteri; Osteoglossiformes; Mormyridae. The record is from RNAcentral.